GGGGGGUUAGCUCAGCUGGGAGAGCGCUAGAAUCGCACUCUAGAGGUCGUGGGUUCGAUCCCCAUACCCUCCACCA
This 76-nucleotide transfer RNA is filed under the name Nitrospirae bacterium RBG_16_64_22. RNAcentral's name for it is "tRNA-Ala". It matches the Rfam family "tRNA". Rfam says of the family: Transfer RNA (tRNA) molecules are approximately 80 nucleotides in length. Their secondary structure includes four short double-helical elements and three loops (D, anti-codon, and T loops). Lineage: Bacteria; Pseudomonadati; Nitrospirota. The record is from RNAcentral. RNAcentral also lists the same sequence under 1 other name.